UUGAGACUAAAGAAUGCUAUGAAUAAUCGAAGUAUGUGGCGUAAAUGCAAGAUAAACCUGAAGUAUGUGGGAAUAUGUUAAGACCCGGAACUACCAUCGAGCCCGUGACAACCGCUGCGACGUCCCGAUAGGCAUUCAUUACCCGGAAUGUCAAUCAAAACCUUGCAAGGCUUAACAUCGGUUUUUCUCGCUUCCUCUGUGAGUAUUAGUCACUAAAAUUAUGUUUUGAGAUAUUAUAAACUAAUUCCAAAUCAAAACAAUAGAAAAAUAAUUUUUUUCUCACAGAGGUAUUUUGGUCAUUUUUUCUCAAAAAUCUCAAAAUCCGCUAAAAAUGUAGCAUGUGGGUGCAAAACACAUAUUUCAUAAUCAAAAAUAAAUUUGGAUGUCUAAAACAUUCGUUUAAAAUGAAAUUAUGAUUAUUAGAAUAAAAUAAAAAUAUUGAAUAAAAUACUCAAGUUUCUCAUAAAACAAUAUUUUUAAAACAUUGCAUAAAUAAUUUUUAUAACGUAAAAGCAAAAUAAAAUCAAAUAUAUUGUAAUAUAGUAAGCUAGAGUAUUUAUUUUAAUUUACAGUAACAAGUGAGCCCUUGAAUAACCAAAAGUAAGAAAGAUUGUAAACCUAAAGUUUGGAAGAUGCAAAUCCAAUGGUGGUCCUCGAUG
This 659-nucleotide long non-coding RNA is filed under the name Theobroma cacao (cacao). Its description in RNAcentral is "long non-coding RNA (TCAC_LNC000972)". The record is from RNAcentral. Lineage: Eukaryota; Viridiplantae; Streptophyta; Magnoliopsida; Malvales; Malvaceae.